GAUUUUUGUUAAUCAGAUGUAGUUGGUUUCUUUUUGGGUUUUGUUAAAUUCUUGAAAUUGAGCUUAAAGAUUGAGUCUUUCUUGUGUAAUCCAAAAGAAAUUUUUGGCUGUUUUUCCAUUCUUGAAGUUGAGCUUAAAGAUUGAGUACCAAAAGAAAUUUCUAAGUUUUUUCUUUCCAUACUUGAGAAAUUGAGCUUAAAGAUUUAGUCUUUCUUGUUUAAACCAAAAGAAAAUUCAUGAGGUUUUUCCUUUCUUGAAUAUUGAGCUUAAAGAUUCAAUCUUUCUUGUUAACCAAAAGAAAUUUCUGGGUGUUUUUCCAUUCUUGAUUAUUGAGCUUAAAGAUUAAGUCUUUAUUGUAAACCAAAAAGGAAUUUCUGGGUGUUUUCAUAUUCUUGAAGUUGAGUUUAAAGAAUUGUGGGUGUUUGUUUCAUUCCUUUAUUUGAUCAAUUCUGGUUUAGGAAAGUUCACGGAUUUCAAUAUUAUAGGAUGCGUACAAAAAAUAGAAUAGAAAAGAAAAAGUGUUGCCACCUUUCUAAGAUGGUAUAACGCAUAUACGUGUCCCCAAAUAUUUGAGGUUCAAUCAUUUGUGUUUAAUUUUGCAGUGGUGUACACUGAAAAACUUCUCAAGAAUGACAUUUAGCAUGAGAAUCAUCGCAAUGACGAUAACUCAAUUACCUACUAAAGCCUCUUUCUUCUUGCAGUUGUAAGGCCUAUUCUGGACUUUUUUGAAUCAUCUAAGAGAAUUUCAGCAUCUGCUCUAUGUAAUGUUAUGUGCAUGUCUUAUCUAAUCGUUGUUUUGGAAUUGCGAAGCUGGGGAGGGAAUCAAAUUAGGUCCACCAACCUCAGCCAAACAAGCUAGGGCUUGAGAAAGCUUAUCCACAGCCAUCCCAGCCAGCCAAGCCAAGCCAUGUGCAGGCUCAUUUGCAUCCAAUCCAGGUACAUAAACCUAAUUUCUCACACGUUGUCGGUGGUUAGAUAUCGCUAUUUCUAUUUUAUAAAUGGCAUUAGCACUAUUACCAUUUGAAGCCAUAUUUGAAACCAUGACUGCCACUGCAAUACAAAGCAAUGAGUAAUGUUUUCCGAAAUAACACUCCGAUUAAAUCAUCCUAGACAAAUUUAAGUAAAUCCAAACUCAUGGUGCAAUUUAAUGAAAUCAGAAACCAAAAUAAGAAUAAUUUAAUUAGCAAUUUCUGUAAAACGCGUAACGUGUUUCAAACACAAACUCCGAUCAAAAUGCAGUUCUAUAUUGUAACAAACAGAUAAAUU
Long non-coding RNA from Capsicum annuum, 1266 nucleotides. RefSeq lists it as uncharacterized. The transcript is spliced from 3 exons. The record is from RefSeq and is a predicted model, not a curated record. Lineage: Eukaryota; Viridiplantae; Streptophyta; Magnoliopsida; Solanales; Solanaceae.